RNAcentral lists this ribosomal RNA (439 nucleotides) under uncultured bacterium. Its description in RNAcentral is "partial 16S ribosomal RNA". It matches the Rfam family "Bacterial small subunit ribosomal RNA", at positions 338 to 795 of the family's 1533-position model. The record is from RNAcentral.
CCUACGGGUGGCAGCAGUAGGGAAUAUUGCUCAAUGGGGGAAACCCUGAAGCAGCAACGCAGCGUGGAGGAUGAAGGUUUUCGGAUUGUAAACUCCUUUUGUUAGAGAAGAUAAUGACGGUAUCUAACGAAUAAGCACCGGCUAACUCCGUGCCAGCAGCCGCGGUAAUACGGAGGGUGCAAGCGUUACUCGGAAUCACUGGGCGUAAAGAGCGCGUAGGCGGGAUAGCAAGUCAGAUGUGAAAUCCUAGGGCUUAACCAUAGAACUGCAUUGGAAACUGUUAUUCUAGAGUAUGGGAGAGGUAGGUGGAAUUCUUGGUGUAGGGGUAAAAUCCGUAGAGAUCAAGAGGAAUCCUCAUUGCGAAGGCGACCUGCUAGAUCAUAACUGACGCGGAUGCGCGAAAGCGUGGGGAGCAAACAGGAUUAGAUACCCUGUAGUC